AGCAGCCGCGGUAAUUCCAGCUCCAAUAGCGUAUAUUAAAGUUGUUGCAGUUAAAAAGCUCGUAGUUGAAUUUCGGGACCAAUUUGUUGGUCGUGCCUCGGUACGUACUGGUAUUAUUGGUUUCUCCCUUCUGAAGAACCUUGAUGUCAUUAAUUUGGUGUCUUGGGGAAUCAGGACUGUUACUUUGAAAAAAUUAGAGUGUUUAAAGCAGGCAUACGCUUGAAUACAUUAGCAUGGAAUAAUGAAAUAGGACGUUUGAUUCUAUUUUGUUGGUUUCUAGGAUCGACGUAAUGAUUAAUAGGGAUAGUUGGGGGCAUUAGUAUUCAAUUGUCAGAGGUGAAAUUCUUGGAUUUAUUGAAGACUAACUACUGCGAAAGCAUUUGCCAAGGAUGUUUUCAUUAAUCAAGAACGAAAGUUAGGGGAUCGAAGACGAUCAGAUACCGUCGUAGUCUUAACCAUAAACUAUGCCGACUAGGGAUCGGAUGAUGUAAUUUUUAAUGACUCAUUCGGCGCCUUACGG
Molecule: ribosomal RNA, 520 nt
Filed under: uncultured Glomus
Lineage: Eukaryota; Fungi; Glomeromycota; Glomeromycetes; Glomerales; Glomeraceae
Description: SSU rRNA
Rfam family: Eukaryotic small subunit ribosomal RNA
Source: RNAcentral